This 406-nucleotide ribosomal RNA is filed under the name uncultured bacterium. RNAcentral describes it as "partial 16S ribosomal RNA". It matches the Rfam family "Bacterial small subunit ribosomal RNA", at positions 29 to 526 of the family's 1533-position model. The record is from RNAcentral.
AUUGAACGCUGGCGGCAGGCCUAACACAUGCAAGUCGAGCGAGCGGCGGACGGGUGAGUAAUGUCUGGGAGACUGCCUGCUGGAGGGGGAUAACUCCUGGAAACGGUAGCUAAUACAGCAUACCAUCAGAUGUGCUCCGAUGGGCUUAGCUGGUGGGGGGGGUAAAGGCCCACCAAGGCGACGAUCCGAAGCGGGUCUGAGAGGAUGAUCCGCAACACUGGAACUGAGACACGGCCCAGACUCCUACGGGAGGCAGCAGUGGGGAAUAUUGGACAAUGGGCGCAAGCCUGAUCCAGCCAUGCCGCGUGUCUGAAGAAGGCCUUCGGGUUGUAAAGGACUUUUAUCAGGGAGGCGGUACCUGAAGAAGAAGCACCGGCUAACUACGUGCCAGCAGCCGCGGUAAUAC